AGAUAGGGUCAUUAGACAGCAAUGAAAUAAAUUUGGCAAAGAAAAUGGACCUGGCCAAAGUGCGAGUGAAUGGAAUCCACAAAUUCCUAUUUAUGAAGGCAAGAGUAUAACCAUUACAAAGUCAAGUUUGGAAAGGUAGGGUAUUAUAUCUUUCCAAGUUCAGGGUUGCUGGCUGGAAUGAUCACUUGCAGAUUUUCUAGUGAUGAUGGUCCUGAGUAUACCGCAGGCCACAGUACUUGCACACGGCAGGCUCCUCCCGAUCGAGGCAUAUGAACUCGAUUGGAUGUCCAAGGGCAGGAUUGCUGUCUCCCUCACAAGCAACGAUACGGCCUUCGACCUUGAUUGGUGGAACCUCGUUGAUCAACUCCAUCG
This 372-nucleotide unclassified non-coding RNA is filed under the name Hevea brasiliensis (rubber tree). The record is from RNAcentral. Lineage: Eukaryota; Viridiplantae; Streptophyta; Magnoliopsida; Malpighiales; Euphorbiaceae.